CAUUGGCUUUUUCUACCGAUUUCAAUCUGGUUUUCGUUCUGGUGACUCUACUGUUAUGCAAUUGGUUAAAAUAGUCAACAAAAUAUAUAAUUGUUUAGAUAGAGGAAAUGAGGUACGAGCUGUAUUUCUAGAUAUAUCAAAAGCAUUUGAUAAGGUUUGGCAUGCUGGACUAUUAGCAAAAAUGAAAAAUCUUGGUGUAGAAGGUACCUUAUUAAAUUGGUUUGAAUCAUAUCUUAAAAGUCGGCAGCAACGAGUAGUUGUUGAAGGCAGUAGCUCAUCUUGGAAAGAAGUUAACGCAGGAGUGCCUCAAGGAUCUGUUCUGGGCCCGCUUCUGUUUUUAAUAUAUAUUAAUGAUAUUCAACAUGAUAUUGAUAGUGACUGCUUUCUUUUUGCCGAUGAUACUAUGCUAUUGCAGGAAGUAUUCUCACCACAAUCUGCGGCUCAAUCUUUGAAUAUAGACUUAAAUUCUAUUUCACUGUGGUCUAGUAAAUGGUUAGUCACAAUGAACGCUUCCAAAACAAAGAGUAUGACUUUCUCCCUGAAAAAAAACAAACCUGAUCAUCCUAUUUUGAAGCUAAGUGAAAAGCCAAUUGAAGAAGUAAGUUGCCACGAGCAUUUGGGUGUCCUACUUUCCAGUAAUAUGUCUUGGAAAGUUCACAUUGAAAAACUUCACCAAAAUGCUUCAAAGACCCUUAACCUAUUGAAAGGCUUUACAUUUAAAUUGCCUAGAUUAACCUUAGAAAUUUUGUAUAAAUCUCUUCUUCGCUCUAAGAUGGAAUAUGCUAAUGUUGUUUGGGAUGGGUGUACAAUAGGUGAAUCGGACCUGCUCGAAAGUGUUCAGUAUGAUGCAGCAAAAUUAAUUUCUGGAGCAAUGAAAGGUACACGCAGAGAAAGUAUGUUGAUUGAUUGCGGGUUGCAUACGUUAAAUAACCGGAGAAAAAUACAAAAGUUGUUAUUAUUGUACAAAAUGGUUAAAGGUUUAGCUCCAAGUUAUUUGUCGGAUCUUUGUCCUGUUUACGUAAGCCAAAGAACUACAUAUAGGCUUCGGACUAGGAAUGAUUUAAGUUUACCUUUCAUUCGCACCGAGAAAGCAAAAAAAUCCUUUUUGUAUUCUACAGUUUUUUAUGGAAUAAUCUUUCUGAAUCCACGAGAGAAUCUGCAACAUUUGUUCUCUUUAAAACUGCUUUAUUACGUGAACGAUUUUAUAUACCUCCUGUCAAUAGAUUGGUUUAUUUGGGUGACCGGUAUUUUUCGGCCUUACACACAAGAUUAAGACUAAACAAUUGUGGUCUUAAUUAUUAUCUUUUUUCAAUGAACUGUGUUCUAUCUCUAUCUUGUACCUGUGGUGCACUUAGUGAAGAUGUAACUCAUCAUUUAUUAUUUUGCCCUCGCUUUGCUGCUCUGCGUGCUUCAAUGCUUACCUCUGUCAUGCGCCUUGCUGGAAAUGUAUGGAACGUUUUGAAUAUUUCUCAACAAGUGGACAUUCUAUUACAUGGUUCAAGAAAUCUAAGUUUUGAAGUAAAUGCUGCAAUUUUCUCUGAAGUACAAUGGUAUAUUGGGAGUUCUGCACGUUUCGCAUAGGAUAUUUAUGCAAUUGCCAAGCGAUCCUUUUUUGUCUGUACUUGUGGUGGUAAUUGUAAUGUAAUAUUGUAAUUUAUGUUUGCAUGAACCCCCUCGAUGAGCUCUAAGCGUUUGGGGUAAAUGUAUCUAAAUAUUGUUUAAAUAAAAAAAAAAAAUAAGAAAAAAAUAAAAAUAUUUAGGACGUUACUUUGAUUUUAACAUGUCGAAUAAUAACCAUAAGACUGAACUAACCACUCUCAUUAAUGAACUGAUGAUUGAUAUUGACUCGAAGCCACUCCAUCCAAAAAACAAGCUUCUCGUGUACAGUCGAUUCAAAAGGUCUUAUCCAAAUUAUCCUGGCAUUUCAAUGGGAAAAUCACAUAGAUUCAGUCUCGAAAAAGAUUACAAAAACCGCUGGAAUUAUAAACCGAGUUCGACAUUAUGCAAAUUUGAAUACUUUAAAACUAGUGUAUUAUGCUUUAAUCUAUCCAUAUUUAAUUUAGCCAAUUUUGUCUGGAGAAAUACUUACACAAAGCCAAUUCAGAAGUUACUAAGGAUACAAAAAAAUAUUGUGCGUUUAAUGUUAUUUAAAUCAAAUUUUGAUCGCACUGAUCCAAUUUUUCAAGAUUUGAAAACACUAACUCUUCCCAAAAUCAGUGAUUAUUUAACUCUUCUAUUCAUGUAUCGUUACCACAAAACAGGACAUUUAUCAAUCAUAUUUAAUAAUCUAUUUGUAAACAAUAGUGACAUUCACCAUUAUAAAACUAGGAAUGCUUCCAAUCUUCACAAAAAGUAUAGAAGAACAAAUUAUGUCAAUCAUUCUCUUGCUAGUAAAGGUGUUGAUAUUUGGAAUAAGCUCGACUCUCAUUUAAAAUCAAUCAAUCCAUUGAUUGGCUUCAAAACCAAAUUGAAAAAAUCUCUAUUUGUAACAGAUAGCUGUAAAUAUAGUAAAUAUAAUCACUCUCCCAUAUAAAAACAUUUUAAGUAUAUUUUAUGGAAUUAUACGUAUU
This is a non-coding RNA of Paramuricea clavata, 2570 nucleotides long. The record is from the annotation of a GenBank genome assembly. NCBI's taxonomy places the organism in Eukaryota, Metazoa, Cnidaria, Anthozoa, Malacalcyonacea, Plexauridae.